Long non-coding RNA from Etheostoma spectabile (orangethroat darter), 259 nucleotides. RefSeq lists it as uncharacterized. The record is from RefSeq and is a predicted model, not a curated record. The transcript has 2 exons. Lineage: Eukaryota; Metazoa; Chordata; Actinopteri; Perciformes; Percidae.
GGUUUUUUUUAGCUUAAUGUACCUUAACUGAACAGCUUUGGAGUCAUGUGAAUGGUUAUAUGACUUCUUUUCGGGUUGAAUGGGGGUCGUCUCACCCCCCUCCCCCCCCAGCGCCUGGAAGCGACAGGAAGUAUUGCGUAAUAUCAGGUCUCGCAAUGUAACGAACUGCUUCACGGCACUGCACACAAACAGGAACCAGGUAGCUAUAAGAACAAGGUAGCGGUGGAGUUUUUCAAACUAGCGUCAUGGCUGAGCCGGC